RNAcentral lists this ribosomal RNA (468 nucleotides) under uncultured bacterium. RNAcentral's name for it is "bacterial SSU rRNA". It matches the Rfam family "Bacterial small subunit ribosomal RNA", at positions 28 to 490 of the family's 1533-position model. The record is from RNAcentral.
GACGAACGCUGGCGGCGUGCUUAACACAUGCAAGUCGAGCGGUAAGGCCCUUUCGGGGGUACACGAGCGGCGAACGGGUGAGUAACACGUGGGUGACCUGCCCUCAGCUCUGGGAUAAGCCUGGGAAACUGGGUCUAAUACCGGAUAUGACUCCAUGACGCAUGUUGUGGGGUGGAAAGCCUUGUGCGGCUGAGGAUGGGCCCGCGGCCUAUCAGCUUGUUGGUGGGGUGAUGGCCUACCAAGGCGACGACGGGUAGCCGGCCUGAGAGGGCGACCGGCCACACUGGGACUGAGACACGGCCCAGACUCCUACGGGAGGCAGCAGUGGGGAAUCUUGCGCAAUGGGCGAAAGCCUGAUCCAGCGAUGCCGCGUGUGUGAAGAAGGCCUGCGGGUUGUAAAGCACUUUCAGUAGGGAAGAAAAGCCGAGUGCUAAUAUCACUCGGUCUCGACGUUACUUACAGAAGAAG